This 308-nucleotide unclassified non-coding RNA is filed under the name uncultured fungus. RNAcentral's name for it is "partial contains 5.8S ribosomal RNA, internal transcribed spacer 2, and large subunit ribosomal RNA". The record is from RNAcentral. Lineage: Eukaryota; Fungi.
AACGCACAUAGCGCUCUCUGGUAUUCCGGGGAGCAUGCCUGUUUGAGUAUCUGUUUACCCUCAACCUUGUAUUCUUUUGAGAAGCAACGUUGGAGUUGAGUCGUGCCUUUUCAUGAAAAAGAGAAGUCUGGCUUGAAAACAAGUGUCGAGCAAAGCUUUUGGGGCAAAACGUAAUUGAAUGAGAAUUUCUCAGCCUUUUCGUCCUGUCUUUUAACAAGGUUUUACCACUCACACCCGCUUUUUUGAAGCAAUAGAGCGUAGCUCUUAACUUAGGUCUCAAAUCAGGUAGGAGGACCCGCUGAACUUAA